RNAcentral lists this transfer RNA (77 nucleotides) under Dactylosporangium aurantiacum. Its description in RNAcentral is "tRNA-Met". It matches the Rfam family "tRNA". Rfam says of the family: Transfer RNA (tRNA) molecules are approximately 80 nucleotides in length. Their secondary structure includes four short double-helical elements and three loops (D, anti-codon, and T loops). Further hydrogen bonds mediate the characteristic L-shaped molecular structure. tRNAs have two regions of fundamental functional importance: the anti-codon, which is responsible for specific mRNA codon recognition, and the 3' end, to which the tRNAs corresponding amino acid is attached (by aminoacyl-tRNA synthetases). tRNAs cope with the degeneracy of the genetic code in two manners: having more than one tRNA (with a specific anti-codon) for a particular amino acid; and 'wobble' base-pairing, i.e. permitting non-standard base-pairing at the 3rd anti-codon position. The record is from RNAcentral. Lineage: Bacteria; Bacillati; Actinomycetota; Actinomycetes; Micromonosporales; Micromonosporaceae.
UGCGGGGUGGAGGAGCUCGGUCGUCCUCGCCGGUCUCAUACGCCGGAGCAUCGUGGGUUCGAAUCCCACCCCCGCGA